ACCACUUUUAGUUCAGAAUAGAAAAACAAACGUGGUAUCUGAUUGGCUGGGAGGAUGGAGCAGGUUUCCACCUUUUACAUCCAAAUCGAAUCAAAGGCAAAGAAGCAUUUAAUACUAGUUUCAGAUAAAGCCGGUGUGGGAUUUGUAUAGAGUUUGGCUCUCUGAGAUGAAAAGAAGAACAGUAAAGAUUCUGCUUGUUCUAGGGAUCCUAUGGAUGCAGAUGGCCUGGGUGAUUGGCCAGCAGCUGGAGCAGAGCCCUCAGUCCACCAGUGUCCAACAGGGACAGAAGGUCACCAUGAGCUGCAAUUCUUCUAGCACUUUGACCUCCUUACAAUGGUACAGGCAGGAACCUGGCAAACAACCAGUCUUCUUGAUGAUCUUAAUUAAAGGCAAAGAAGUCAAGAGUCAGGGGAAAUUUAUUGCCCAGUUUGACGAAAAAAGGAAAAACAGCUUUUUGAUCCUCGAGGCUGCCCAGCCCCAAGAUUCAGCUACCUACCUCUGUGCUGGGAGUCACAGUGCUCCACAGGCAGCAACAACCUCUACACAAACCCUGCAGCUGGGACCCCAGCAACCUCUUUUGUUUUCUACUUUUUUUCUGUUUUUCUUUGCACAGUUUUUACACUGUGUGCAAGCGCGCUCAACCCUCUGUCUUCCUAUAUGCCAAAUACACCUGGGCCAACUUUCAGCAGAUGAAGAGGAUUGUAAAGUUUGUAAGGAACUAGAAACAAAGUAGAAGAGUCACCAAUUCUAUCUACUCUGAACAGCUUUGGCUAAAAUUUUAGGCUGCUCCAUCCUUUGAAGAUGUGGGUCUGGAAGGAGGCAAGCAGUAUUUAGAGGAGAUGACUAUGAGAUCAUGCAAAGAGCAGGACCUCCUGCUAGUAGAGUAGUGCCACUAAAAGAAAAAAAAAAGGCUUUUUUUCAUAGGGAUUGCCAUGUAUAUGCAAACAGUGCAUCCCCCCAGCCUCAUGGAUAAAACUAAUUAAGAUUAUUAUGAAUGAAUCAAUUGAAUUAACAUGUAAAGCACUUUGUAAACUUUUCAGUACCAUAUAAAUACAAGCCAUUAUUAUACAUUUUAACAUAUUGUUAUGAUACUCAUUAUUCCUGUCUUUCAGUUGUGUCUCACUCUUUAUGACCCCAUUUGGGGAUUUCAUGGCAGAAAUAUUGGAGGAGCUUAAUGAAUAAUGAAAAAUUAAUCCUUCUCCAGCUCAUUUUACAGAUGGGGAACUUGAGACAAAUGUGGUUAAGUGACUUGACUAGGGUC
Non-coding RNA from Monodelphis domestica (gray short-tailed opossum), 1261 nucleotides. Lineage: Eukaryota; Metazoa; Chordata; Mammalia; Didelphimorphia; Didelphidae. The record is from the annotation of a RefSeq genome assembly.